This 1235-nucleotide long non-coding RNA is filed under the name Salmo trutta (river trout). Its description in RNAcentral is "lncRNA (ENSSTUG00000029236.1)". The record is from RNAcentral. Lineage: Eukaryota; Metazoa; Chordata; Actinopteri; Salmoniformes; Salmonidae.
CGAUAGAGCAAACGGGGGGGUAGAGAAAGCAGAGAAGGGUGGAUGGGGGAGGGAGAAAAGAAGGAGGUGAUUGUUGGGGAGUUAGGAAGAAUGUAUAAAACGAGGGCCAGAGAGAGGGGGAGAGAGUGAAUGAACAGAAAGAGAGAGAAGAAACAUUGGUGGCAAGAUUUUUGAAAGCAAUAAAGGACUAUCGAAAAAUCAGAGGAACCAAAACGGCACAAAACAGGCUUCUUAUGAAGGUAGGUAACUAGCUGUACUAGCAACAGUUUACCCCAUACCAUGGCCUAGUUAGCCAGAUCCAGAUGUUGAGAUGUCUUAACAUGCGGCCAUACAGUAACAUAUGAACGCAGUUUUUUUGCAACCAGGCUGUGCCCUGCCUCCUAGAGUUUGUUUAGCAGACAAAUAAAGAUACACACUCCAACUCAGUUUAAGGUGGGGAAAAGUGGUAGGAAAUAAUGUGACAUCCUCCAACAGCUACAUCAUUUGGGCAGCUGUAAAGACCAAUAAGCUUGAAAAUUUGCUGACGCUUGUUAAAUAAAAGUCAGAUGAAUCUAACCAAGCCAACCCCCUAUGUAUGUUAAUUUGGCUGCUGAUCCAGCCUCUCCAACUAGUGUGUGUACAUGAAAUAUUAUAAUGAUAUUUGUUUCUUCUCCUUCGCUGCAGAUGUAAAGGACAAAUUUUGCGUCAUGAUUAAUCUACAGCGGUCAAGUAGAUGGAGGUCUGCCGACGGUCAGGCGUAGAGUGAUGCUGCUUACACUCCACGAUGGGUACACUUCACCCAUCUGGACUUCCUGGAGGACACUUAGACCAUGGUAAAGCUAGGACGAUAUGGCCACACCUUCAUCUCCAACUACAAGACCACUUUUCAGGAAGUUGAUAAAAUGCACAAUGAGCCCAGAAGACCCCUCCCACCCUCUGCAGUGCAACCACCAGUCCAAGCACAAAGUGGGUCAAGUCCAGAUGGAGAGACACCCCAGACCUCCAGAAGGAGAGUCCAUCCCAGUGGGAAUAAUCAGGCGAAGGAGGUAUCAGCCACCGAGUCCGAUCCGUCUGCAGUUGUUGGGAUGCUACCAACACUUCAAUCGAUGGCCGAAAGUGGACAUCCAGCAACUGCUGAAAUAUCUUUUUCAAUAUUUAAAUAGCGAGUGAGAAUUUGAGAGAGCAGAGAUAUUGAAAUGGUGAGUAAUGUUUGUAUGUGUUCAUUGUGCAUACAUGAUUAAAUCGAUUAACCUACA